RNAcentral lists this transfer RNA (75 nucleotides) under Cancer pagurus (edible crab). RNAcentral's name for it is "tRNA-Leu". Lineage: Eukaryota; Metazoa; Arthropoda; Malacostraca; Decapoda; Cancridae. The record is from RNAcentral.
AAUUUUAAAGUUUUAGGGGGAUAGGCUAGGCUUUAAGGGUUUAAAUUUAAAGUGCUUAUGAUUUUUAUGAAAUUU